Molecule: ribosomal RNA, 207 nt
Filed under: uncultured bacterium
Lineage: Bacteria
Description: partial 16S ribosomal RNA
Rfam family: Bacterial small subunit ribosomal RNA
Source: RNAcentral
UGCGUAGGCGGCGCGGAAAGUUGGGUGUGAAAUCCCUCGGCUCAACCGAGGAAUUGCGCCCAAAACUUCCGUGCUCGAGGAAGAUAGAGGUGAGCGGAACUUAGGGUGGAGCGGUGAAAUGCGUUGAUAUCCUAAGGAACACCGGUGGCGAAAGCGGCUCACUGGGUCUUUUCUGACGCUGAGGCACGAAAGCUAGGGUAGCGAACG